GACGAACGCUGGCGGCGUGCUUAACACAUGCAAGUCGAACGGAAAGGCCCUGCUUUUGUGGGGUGCUCGAGUGGCGAACGGGUGAGUAACACGUGAGUAACCUGCCCUUGACUUUGGGAUAACUUCAGGAAACUGGGGCUAAUACCGGAUAGGAGCUCCUGCUGCAUGGUGGGGGUUGGAAAGUUUCGGCGGUUGGGGAUGGACUCGCGGCUUAUCAGCUUGUUGGUGGGGUAGUGGCUUACCAAGGCUUUGACGGGUAGCCGGCCUGAGAGGGUGACCGGCCACAUUGAGACUGAGAUACGGCCCAGACUCCUACGGGAGGCAGCAGUGGAGAAUAUUGCACAAUGGGCGGAAGCCUGGUGCAGCAACGCCGCGUGCGGGAUGACGGCCUUCGGGUUGUAAUCCGCUUUCGCCUGUGCCGAAGCGUGAGUGACGGUAAUGGGUAAAGAAGCACCGGCUAACUACGUG
This 468-nucleotide ribosomal RNA is filed under the name uncultured bacterium. Its description in RNAcentral is "partial 16S ribosomal RNA". It matches the Rfam family "Bacterial small subunit ribosomal RNA", at positions 28 to 507 of the family's 1533-position model. The record is from RNAcentral.